This 216-nucleotide long non-coding RNA is filed under the name Prunus dulcis (almond). Its description in RNAcentral is "sRNA ncRNA". Lineage: Eukaryota; Viridiplantae; Streptophyta; Magnoliopsida; Rosales; Rosaceae. The record is from RNAcentral.
AUGGUUGAUUAUGAAUGCAAAUUGGUGUAUGUAAAAUUAUUUUCUCUGUUUUUUGGGUAUGGUUCAUUGCAGAGCAUACAUGUACCAGGUCCGCAAAAGAAUUAUUGUUCCUUUUCUAUGAGAUAUAAUUUUAUAAAAAACAUUGUGAUGUACAGCCACUGUAGAAACGAUGUCUACCAGAGUGAUACAUUAGUAAAAACUAGACAAGAAAACUGA